RNAcentral lists this ribosomal RNA (420 nucleotides) under uncultured bacterium. RNAcentral describes it as "bacterial SSU rRNA". It matches the Rfam family "Bacterial small subunit ribosomal RNA", at positions 356 to 773 of the family's 1533-position model. The record is from RNAcentral.
GAGGAAUAUUGGUCAAUGGACGGAAGUCUGAACCAGCCAUGCCGCGUGCAGGAAUAAGGUCCUAUGGAUUGUAAACUGCUUUUAUUUGGGAAUAAACCUCCUUACGUGUAGGGAGCUGAAGGUGCCAAAGGAGUAAGCACCGGCUAACUCCGUGCCAGCAGCCGCGGUAAUACGGAGGGUGCAAGCGUUAUCCGGAAUCAUUGGGUUUAAAGGGUCCGCAGGCGGGCUGAUAAGUCAGAGGUGAAAUCCCACAGCUUAACUGUGGAACUGCCUUUGAAACUGUUAGUCUUGAAUUAAGAUGGCGUUGGCGGAAUAGGUCAUGUAGCGGUGAAAUGCAUAGAUAUGACCUAGAACACCGAAAGCGAAGGCAGCUAACGAAUCUUAUAUUGACGCUCAUGGACGAAAGCGUGGGUAGCGAAC